GAAGCCUCCUUUAAGGCGGCAGAGGCAGAAGGAGCUGCAAUAUUUAAAAAUUUUCUGGUCUCCUAAUGGGAAAGCACUCUUGCUCUACUUAAACCAACGUGAAGUAAAGUGACAGAUAAACCUCAUUAUUGAUUGUAAGAUUGUGAGCAUGUGUGAGCAAGUGGCUGCAAAUACCCAAGUGUCCAUCUAAAGAGGAGUGGAUAAAUAAUCCAUGGCAGACUCUACCUCUGUGCCUCCAGCAAAGCUCCUGAUCACUUUCAAGAUAAUAGAACUGAACCCCAGAAGAGGAAAGAAAUUUUGCUACAGUCACAUUGUGAAUCAGUGAUGCAUCUGACACAUAACCCUGAGUACUGAGCCCCAGAGAUCGCCUUUAUCUGCACCAACACAUGACUUAAAUUCAGAAGAUCAAGUAGAAUUUUGGUGUAUGUGCAAUGGGGAAGCAGUGUGGGUUUUGUUUUUCAACAGAGCUUUCUUCAGAAGAAGUCCUUUUACACCAAACCGAUCCCAAUUAGCCAUGCUUUUCAGAUAAAGAGUUUACUAAUCAUUCUAAUACAAAUGAUUCAGAAGCUCCUGGAAGCCUGCUGCUCUAAAUAUUAUUUUGUUUUAGCAAUAAUCGUCUUUUACCAUCAAAUAUGCUUCCUCCUCAAUGCAGAAG
Bos taurus (domestic cattle) is the source of this 655-nucleotide long non-coding RNA. The record is from Ensembl. Lineage: Eukaryota; Metazoa; Chordata; Mammalia; Artiodactyla; Bovidae.